RNAcentral lists this long non-coding RNA (378 nucleotides) under Mytilus galloprovincialis (Mediterranean mussel). Lineage: Eukaryota; Metazoa; Mollusca; Bivalvia; Mytilida; Mytilidae. The record is from RNAcentral.
CAAUGACAGCAUUCAGAAUGAAGAAACAAACCAGAGAAUAUCCAUAUGACAUUCAGAUUGGUGUUAGUAAUAAGCUGGUAAUGAUAAUGAGGGUAAUUAAAUUUUUUUUAGAAAAUGUUAAACGAUACAAGUUAUCCCGAUGUACAAAUGUAUACUCGGUUUUACACAUACAGUGCCGUUUGCGAACGCCGUAUCCUUCAGUUUCAUUAAAGACAUAAACUUAAACAUAAACUUUAUAGUGUAUGAUAUACUAGCAAAAGUGAGAAUACAACAUAAACGCCAACGGCAAUUUACGCGUUUGGAGAUUUUAUUUAAAAAACUGAUCAUUCUGUCUACUAUUAAACGAUUACUCGGAAAGGAUUCCGAUUUUGACUCCGG